UGUGUCCUCCCAGUGAGGUGGAGUCAAUGCAAAAUGCACGUCCUCCACCUCUACUUAUGUCUGCAGAGAGGAGAACAGAAAACAGUGGACACACAGUUUAACAUGAUGGACUACAGGACAACACUGCUGCUGGUAACUCUCUGCUGGGCAGGUGUUGAUAGUCAGACUCUGACAGAAUCUGAACCUGCAAUUAAAAGACCUGGAGAAUCCCACAGACUCACCUGUACAACAUCUGGAAUAGAAUUUAGUAGCUACUGGAUGAACUGGAUCAGACAGACUCCUGGAAAAGGACUGGAAUGGAUCGCUAAUAUCAGAUAUAACAGUGAUACCAUCUAUUACUCUCAGUCAGUUCAAGGCAGGUUCACCAUCUCCAGAGACAACAGCAAAGAGCAGCUGUAUCUGCAGAUGAACAGCCUGAAGACUGAAGAUUCUGCUGUUUAUUAUUGUGCUCGACACACACAGUGACUGAAGUUGGUUGAACAGCUGUACAAAAACCUACAGUCCUCAUCAGACAUGAAAAACAUCCUCAGUUUAGAUAAUUCUCUCAGACUUGUUGCAUCUUUACUUUAAUCAGUGAUAUUUCAGUUGUUUUUAAAGACAUUCCUGAGAAAUAAAUUGUUGUUAAACAUAAAUUUUAAGCACAUAUUCUACAUAAUAUCUGAAUAUAUUGUCAGUCAAUCCAUUUGC
This is a non-coding RNA of Amphiprion ocellaris (clown anemonefish), 687 nucleotides long. The record is from the annotation of a RefSeq genome assembly. Lineage: Eukaryota; Metazoa; Chordata; Actinopteri; Pomacentridae.